RNAcentral lists this ribosomal RNA (481 nucleotides) under uncultured bacterium. Its description in RNAcentral is "bacterial SSU rRNA". It matches the Rfam family "Bacterial small subunit ribosomal RNA", at positions 32 to 507 of the family's 1533-position model. The record is from RNAcentral.
AGUCAACGUUGGCGGCGUGCGUAACACAUGCAAGUCGAACGAUCCUUAAGUGGCUUGCCAUUUAAGGAGAGUGGCGAACGGGUGAGUAACACGUGAGUAAUCUGCCCUCGAGCGGGGAAUAACUCCGCGAAAGCGGUGCUAAUACCGCAUAAUACUCUAAAGCACACGCUUCUAGAGUCAAAGCCUUUCGGGGCGCUCGAGGAUGAGCUUGCGCCAUAUUAGCUUGUUGGUGGGGUAAUGGCCUACCAAGGUUAUGAUGUGUAGCCGGCCUGAGAGGGUGUACGGCCACACUGGAACUGCGACACGGUCCAGACUCCUACGGGAGGCAGCAGUGGGGAAUUUUGCGCAAUGGGCGAAAGCCUGACGCAGCGACGCCGCGUGGAGGAUGACGGCCUUCGGGUUGUAAACUCCUGUCAGAGGUGAAGAAAGCCCUUUCGGGGGCCUGACGGUAACCUCAGAGGAAGCCCCGGCUAACUACGUG